GCCCCCACAGCCCUGCUGCAGCUUGCUCAGCAGCACUAUGCACCCCUUUGCUCACAGCAUCCCCAGAGCAAAAUCUGAAACUUUUUAGAAAGUAACAUUUAACAGCAUUUAAAUAACAAUGAAUAAAAUUUCAAAUGCUUGUUUACAAAAUAUUUGUCUUAUUACACAUUCAUAUUUGCUACCAGCAAACCUUACUUUCACAACUUAAUUUUUCAUUUUAAACAAUAAACAUUCCUUGUAAAUUAUU
Non-coding RNA from Paramuricea clavata, 247 nucleotides. The record is from the annotation of a GenBank genome assembly. Lineage: Eukaryota; Metazoa; Cnidaria; Anthozoa; Malacalcyonacea; Plexauridae.